AUUAUACUCCACAACUUUUAAUGAUCAACAUUGUUCUGCAGAAACUUCUGUUUCAGAUAGGAUGAGUAGCACAAAUGGAAGCACUGAAGAAAUUGAAAAAUUUUCUAAUGAAAACUCGUCAGAGUCAAAAGAUGAUGCAGAGAUGUUGAUUCCACAUAUGCAUGAGCAACUUGAAGUGACUUAUCAUAGCUCUAAAAUUUCUUCUUUCAAUAUCCCAUUUUUUAAAGAAAGUGGUACCUUCAAACUUCCACUUCAAUCCGAAAUUUCUAUUUAAAUUUCAUAUAAAUCCAUUUCAACUCCUUUAUUUUCGUCUAUUCUA
Molecule: long non-coding RNA, 319 nt
Organism: Manihot esculenta (cassava)
Lineage: Eukaryota; Viridiplantae; Streptophyta; Magnoliopsida; Malpighiales; Euphorbiaceae
Exons: 2
Source: RefSeq, a predicted model, not a curated record